GACAGAGGGUGCAAACGUUGUUCGGAAUUACUGGGCGUAAAGCGAGUGUAGGCGGUGUGGUAAGUCGGAUGUGAAAGCCCCGGGCUCAACCCGGGAAGUGCAUUCGAUACUACCACGCUAGAGUAUCGGAGAGGUUGGUGGAAUUCUCGGUGUAGAGGUGAAAUUCGUAGAUAUCGAGAGGAACACCGGUGGCGAAGGCGGCCAACUGGACGAAUACUGACGCUGAGACUCGAAAGCGUGGGGAGCAAACAGG
This 253-nucleotide ribosomal RNA is filed under the name uncultured bacterium. RNAcentral describes it as "partial 16S ribosomal RNA". It matches the Rfam family "Bacterial small subunit ribosomal RNA", at positions 524 to 776 of the family's 1533-position model. The record is from RNAcentral.